GAAUCAGUAUACACUCCAAGUGCUACUUAUUUUAUAUAAAGAUGAAUUUUAAAAUACUAUUCUUUAUUUUUUCCACAUUUACUUUAUUAUUUGUUAGUGCAUUUCAAUUUGAAAAUGAUCCAGAUGAAUCAUUAAUUAGAGAAAGAAGAUAUAUCCAGUGUCAUGAUAUUCAAUGCCAAAGAAUAUGCACAUUUGCUCCCCGGAGUAAAGGUGGUAGAUGUGGACCAGGAGGACAAUGUAUUUGUAAUUAAUUGAACAUGCACUUCUUUAUAAAAUUAUAUGAAACGAUAAAUUUUACUAAAUAAAUUAUAAUCUAUUGAUUACUGAUA
Molecule: long non-coding RNA, 329 nt
Organism: Aethina tumida (small hive beetle)
Lineage: Eukaryota; Metazoa; Arthropoda; Insecta; Coleoptera; Nitidulidae
Exons: 2
Source: RefSeq, a predicted model, not a curated record